This 71-nucleotide transfer RNA is filed under the name Halicampus grayi (Gray's pipefish). RNAcentral's name for it is "tRNA-Thr". It matches the Rfam family "tRNA". From Rfam's summary of the family: Transfer RNA (tRNA) molecules are approximately 80 nucleotides in length. Their secondary structure includes four short double-helical elements and three loops (D, anti-codon, and T loops). Further hydrogen bonds mediate the characteristic L-shaped molecular structure. tRNAs have two regions of fundamental functional importance: the anti-codon, which is responsible for specific mRNA codon recognition, and the 3' end, to which the tRNAs corresponding amino acid is attached (by aminoacyl-tRNA synthetases). tRNAs cope with the degeneracy of the genetic code in two manners: having more than one tRNA (with a specific anti-codon) for a particular amino acid; and 'wobble' base-pairing, i.e. permitting non-standard base-pairing at the 3rd anti-codon position. Lineage: Eukaryota; Metazoa; Chordata; Actinopteri; Syngnathiformes; Syngnathidae. The record is from RNAcentral.
GCAUAAGUAGCUCAGUAAGAGCACCGGUCUUGUAAGCCGGAGGCCGGAGACUAAACCCCUCCCUACUGCUC